Molecule: long non-coding RNA, 252 nt
Organism: Polyodon spathula (Mississippi paddlefish)
Lineage: Eukaryota; Metazoa; Chordata; Actinopteri; Acipenseriformes; Polyodontidae
Exons: 3
Source: RefSeq, a predicted model, not a curated record
CAAAAUGGAGUCCCCCAUGCUUGCUUCAAGUUUCAUAGAACAACAGCAGAUCAUUUAACACAUUAACAGUAAACAGAGUCCGGAUUCUCCCGAGCUGUGAGGACUUGAAGAAUGAAGAAUGCUGAUAACGUUCAGAGUGCUGGUGAUUUGAAUGUGGGCUGCUGUGAUCAUCCUGUCCCCUGGUCAGCUGUCCAGCUCGCUGCUGUGGUCAUCCUGUUCUUAGUCAGCUGUUCAGCUUGUUGCUGUGGUCAU